UGGGGAAUUUUGGACAAUGGGCGCAAGCCUGAUCCAGCAAUGCCGCGUGCAGGAUGAAGGCCUUCGGGUUGUAAACUGCUUUUGUACGGAACGAAAAGCUUCUGGUUAAUACCUGGGAGUCAUGACGGUACCGUAAGAAUAAGCACCGGCUAACUACGUCCCAGCAGCCGCGGUAAUACGUAGGGUGCGAGCGUUAAUCGGAAUUACUGGGCGUAAAGCGUGCGCAGGCGGUUAUGUAAGACAGAGGUGAAAUCCCCAGGCUCAACCUGGGAACUGCCUUUGUGACUGAAUGGCUAGAGUGCGGCAGAGAGGAAUGGAAUUACGCGUGUAGCAGUGAAAUGCGUAGAUAUGCGGAGGAAAACCGAUGGCGAAGGCAAUCCCCUGGGCCUGCACUGACGCUCAUGCACGAAAGCGUGGGGAGCAAACA
This 427-nucleotide ribosomal RNA is filed under the name uncultured bacterium. RNAcentral describes it as "bacterial SSU rRNA". It matches the Rfam family "Bacterial small subunit ribosomal RNA", at positions 355 to 774 of the family's 1533-position model. The record is from RNAcentral.